CCUACGGGAGGCAGCAGUAGGGAAUCUUUCACAAUGGGCGAAAGCCUGAUGGAGCAACGCCGCGUGCAGGAUGAAGGCCUUCGGGUUGUAAACUGCUUUUAUAAGCGAGAAAUAUGAUGGUAACUUAUGAAUAAGGAUCGGCUAACUACGUGCCAGCAGCCGCGGUCAUACGUAGGAUCCGAGCAUUAUCCGGAGUGACUGGGUGUAAAGAGUUGCGUAGGUGGCAUAAUAAGUAGCUAGUGAAAUCUGGUGGCUCAACCAUUCAGACUAUUAGCUAAACUGUUAAGCUCGAGACCGUUAGGGGUAACUGGAAUUUCUAGUGUAGGAGUGAAAUCCGUAGAUAUUAGAAGGCACACCAAUAGCGUAGGCAGGUUGCUGGGACGGUUCUGACACUAAGGCACGAAAGCGUAGGGAGCAAACGGGAUUAGAUACCCGAGUAGUC
RNAcentral lists this ribosomal RNA (442 nucleotides) under uncultured bacterium. Its description in RNAcentral is "partial 16S ribosomal RNA". It matches the Rfam family "Bacterial small subunit ribosomal RNA", at positions 338 to 795 of the family's 1533-position model. The record is from RNAcentral.